GAUGAACGCUGGCGGCGUGCCUAAUACAUGCAAGUCGAGCGAACGGACGAGAAGCUUGCUUCUCUGAUGUUAGCGGCGGACGGGUGAGUAACACGUGGAUAACCUACCUAUAAGACUGGGAUAACUUCGGGAAACCGGAGCUAAUACCGGAUAAUAUUUUGAACCGCAUGGUUCAAUAGUGAAAGACGGUCUUGCUGUCACUUAUAGAUGGAUCCGCGCUGCAUUAGCUAGUUGGUAAGGUAACGGCUUACCAAGGCAACGAUGCAUAGCCGACCUGAGAGGGGGAUCGGCCACAUGGGAACGGAGACACGGUCCUGACGCCUACGGGAGGCAGCAGUAGGGAAUCUGCCGCAAUGGGCGAAAGCCUGACGGAGCAACGCCGCGUGAGUGAUGAAGGUCUUCGGAUCGUAAAACUCUGUUAUUAGGGAAGAACAUAUGUGUAAGUAACUGUGCACAGCUUGACGGUACCGAAUCAGAAAGCCACGGCUAACUACGUG
This 497-nucleotide ribosomal RNA is filed under the name uncultured bacterium. RNAcentral describes it as "partial 16S ribosomal RNA". It matches the Rfam family "Bacterial small subunit ribosomal RNA", at positions 28 to 507 of the family's 1533-position model. The record is from RNAcentral.